GUGCCNUUUACUACUUGGAUAACCGUGGUAAUUCUAGAGCUAAUACAUGCUUAAAACCCCGACUUCGGAAGGGGUGUAUUUAUUAGAUAAAAAACCAAUGCCCUUCGGGGCUCUUUGGUGAUUCAUAAUAACGCAACGAAUCGCAUGGCCUUGUGCCGGCGAUGGUUCAUUCAAAUUUCUGCCCUAUCAACUUUCGAUUGUAGUUUAGUGGACUACAAUGGUUUCAACGGGUAACGGGGAAUUAGGGUUCGACUCCGGAGAGGGAGCCUGAGAAACGGCUACCACAUCCAAGGAAGGCAGCAGGCGCGCAAAUUACCCAAUCCCGACUCGGGGAGGUAGUGACAAUAAAUACUGAUACAGGGCUCUUUUGGGUCUUGUAAUUGGAAUGAGUACAAUUUAAAUCCCUUAACGAGGAACAAUUGGAGGGCAAGUCUGGUGAGACAAUGUCUCACUGCUGACGCCAGAAAUAGUGGCCCUGCCACUAGUCGAGCGCCUGUCAUUGAUGGGUAGGCGCCGGCAAGGUAACCCGGUACGGGGAACUCCUCGCAAGAGAAGACCCCGUGGCGAGCCCCUAUUCAGAGGGGUCGCCGUAACGCGCGGAAGGGUACCGCCUGAUCCAUCUGCGGAUCAGGCCGAGGGACGCGCUAUUCCACUGCGAGAGCAGGCCACAAACGUUCGCGCCCAUCACGCAAAGUUUGAGGCGUGUCGCCCACAUUGUCGGCGACAUUAGAUUUGAAUCAAGGCCAGCAGCCGCGGUAAUUCCAGCUCCAAUAGCGUAUAUUAAAGUUGUUGCAGUUAAAAAGCUCGUAGUUGAACCUUGGGCCUGGCUGACCGGUCCGCCUCACCGCGUGCACUGGCUCGGCCGGGCCUUUCCUUCUGUGGAUCCGCAUGCCCUUCACUGGGUGUGUUGGGGAAACAGGACUUUUACUUUGAAAAAAUUAGAGUGUUCAAAGCAGGCCUUUGCUCGAAUACAUUAGCAUGGAAUAAUAGAAUAGGACGGCCUUCCUAUUUUGUUGGUUUCUAGGAGUGCCGUAAUGAUUAAUAGGGAUAGUUGGGGGCAUCUGUAUUCAAUUGUCAGAGGUGAAAUNNNNNNNNNNNNNNNNNNNNNNNNNNNNNNNNNNNNNNNNNNNNNNNNNNNNNNNNNNNNNNNNNNNNNNNNNNNNNNNNNNNNNNNNNNNNCAGANANCGUCGUAGUCUUAACCAUAAACUAUGCCGACUAGGGAUCGGGCGAUGUUACUAUCUUGACUCGCUCGGCACCUUUCGAGAAAUCAAAGUUUUUGGGUUCUGGGGGGAGUAUGGUCGCAAGGCUGAAACUUAAAGAAAUUGACGGAAGGGCACCACCAGGAGUUAACAUAUACAGUAUCGCCGCAGCGACUCUGCUCCGCAAAGCAGCCCGAUAAGGGUGAGGUGGUUUUAGCCCGGGGUCCUCUAAAAAUUGGGGGCCCCAAAUCUAAAUGCUAGUCCACUUCGGUGGGCGACACGCUCAAAUUGCGGGAAAGUCCUAAAGCUCCAGACACCAAGCCGGCGAUCGAAAGAUGUCGGUGGCCAGGUUAAUAGCCAUGGGUAUGGUAACAGCUCUGGAGAUGCUACAAUGGGCGAUCCGCAUCCAAGCCCCGUACGUUGCAAGACGCGGGGAAGGUUCAGAGACUAGACGGGCGUGGGUCCAGUUGGGUUACAAAUCGAUUUUGAAAAGUUCUUUUGAGUUCAAAGCGUUGUUUCGUGCGUUGAUGCGUUUUUGUUUUGCAAGACGUAGAUGUUUUAGACAAGUAGUCCAAGCCUUUUUAAAAUCCUCAUCUCCUGUGCCAAAACACGCUUGAAAUUGCUUUAAACCAUAGAACUUUUCAAAUAACGUCAGUAACUUCAAAUACUGGGCUUAAGAUAUAGACCGUCCCUUACCGAAAGGUAACGGGAGCCCCUAUAAUUAUAGGGGGGCAACCAGUAAAACGGGAGCCUGCGGCUUAAUUUGACUCAACACGGGGAAACUCACCAGGUCCAGAUACACGUAGGAUUGACAGAUUGAGAGCUCUUUCUUGAUUGUGUAGUUGGUGGUGCAUGGCCGUUCUUAGUUGGUGGAGUGAUUUGUCUGCUUAAUUGCGAUAACGAACGAGACCUUCAUCGUUAAAUAGCCCGGCUCGCUUUGGCGUGUCGCCGGCUUCUUAGCGAGACUUUUGGCUUAAGCCAAAGGAAGUUGGAGGCAAUAACAGGUCUGUGAUGCCCUUAGAUGUUCUGGGCUGCACGCGCGCUACACUGACAGAGCCAACGAGUUUUUUUCCUUGUCCGGAAGGUCUGGGUAAUCUUGUUAAACUCUGUCGUGCUGGGGAUAGAGCAUUGCAAUUAUUGCUCUUCAACGAGGAAUGCCUAGUAAGCGCAUGUCAUCAGCAUGCGUUGAUUACGUCCCUGCCCUUUGUACACACCGCCCGUCGCUACUACCGAUUGAAUGGCUCAGUGAGGUCUCCGGAUUGGUUCAGGGAGGUUGGCAACGACCACCCAGGACCGAGAAGCUGAUCAAACUUGGUCAUUUAGAGGAAGUAAAA
This 2534-nucleotide ribosomal RNA is filed under the name Pseudosigmoidea excentrica. RNAcentral describes it as "Scolecobasidium excentricum partial small subunit ribosomal RNA". It matches the Rfam family "Eukaryotic small subunit ribosomal RNA". The record is from RNAcentral. Lineage: Eukaryota; Fungi; Ascomycota; Dothideomycetes; Venturiales; Sympoventuriaceae.